AGGACGAACGCUGGCGGCGUGCUUAACACAUGCAAGUCGAGCGGAAAGGCCCUUCGGGGUACUCGAGCGGCGAACGGGUGAGUAACACGUGAGCAACCUGCCCUUAGCUUCGGGAUAGCUCCGGGAAACCGGAAUUAAUACCGGAUAUGACUAUGGCCGACAUCAGCCAUGGUGGAAAGUUUUUCGGCUAGGGAUGGACUCGCGGCCUAUCAGCUAGUUGGUGAGGUAACGGCUCACCAAGGCGACGACGGGUAGCCGGCCUGAGAGGGCGACCGGCCACACUGGGACUGAGACACGGCCCAGACUCCUACGGGAGGCAGCAGUGGGGAAUAUUGCGCAAUGGGCGAAAGCCUGACGCAGCGACGCCGCGUGGGAGAUGAAUGCCUUCGGGUUGUAAACCCUUUCAGCAGGGACGAAGCGAAAGUGACGGUACCUGCAGAAGAAGCGCCGGCUAACUACGUGCCAGCAGCCGCGGUAA
Molecule: ribosomal RNA, 478 nt
Filed under: uncultured bacterium
Lineage: Bacteria
Description: SSU rRNA
Rfam family: Bacterial small subunit ribosomal RNA
Source: RNAcentral